This 343-nucleotide ribosomal RNA is filed under the name uncultured bacterium. RNAcentral's name for it is "bacterial SSU rRNA". It matches the Rfam family "Bacterial small subunit ribosomal RNA", at positions 8 to 334 of the family's 1533-position model. The record is from RNAcentral.
AGAGUUUGAUUCUGGCUCAGGACGAACGCUGGCGGCAUGCCUAACACAUGCAAGUCGAACGGAGCCAUGGUAUGGAUCUCUUCGGAGUGACGUACCGGAAGCUUAGUGGCAGACGGGUGAGUAACACGUGAGCAACCUGCCCUAUAGAGGGGAAUAACACACCGAAAGGUGUGCUAAUACCGCAUAAGUAUGAUUAUCGCAUGGUAGACAUAUGAAAGAUUUAUCGCUAUAGGAUGGGCUCGCGGCUGAUUAGUUAGUUGGUGGGGUAACGGCCUACCAAGACGACGAUCAGUAGCCGGACUGAGAGGUUGAACGGCCACAUUGGGACUGAGACACGGCCCAG